RNAcentral lists this small RNA (501 nucleotides) under uncultured Paraglomus. RNAcentral's name for it is "SSU rRNA". It matches the Rfam family "Eukaryotic small subunit ribosomal RNA", at positions 569 to 1072 of the family's 1831-position model. Lineage: Eukaryota; Fungi; Glomeromycota; Glomeromycetes; Paraglomerales; Paraglomeraceae. The record is from RNAcentral.
AGCAGCCGCGGUAAUUCCAGCUCCAAUAGCGUAUAUUAAAGUUGUUGCAGUUAAAAAGCUCGUAGUUGAACCUUAGGCCCGUGCGGGCGGUCCGUCCUCUGGGCGAGCACUGCCUCGUCGCGGGUCUCACCUUCUGGCGAGCGUGGAUGCCAUUCAUUUGGUGUCUGCGGGAACCAGGACCUUUACCUUGAAAAAUUAGAGUGCUCAAAGCGGGCUCUUACGCUUGAAUACAUUAGCAUGGAAUAAUGAAAUAGGACGACGGUUCUAUUUUGUUGGUUUCCGGGAUUGUCGUAAUGAUUAAUAGGGAUAGUUGGGGGCAUUCGUAUUCAAUUGUCAGAGGUGAAAUUCUUGGAUUUAUUGAAGACGGACUACUGCGAAAGCAUUUGCCAAGGAUGUUUUCAUUAAUCAAGAACGAAAGUUGGGGGAUCGAAGACGAUCAGAUACCGUCGUAGUCUCAACCAUAAACUAUGCCGACUGGGAAUCGGGCGAUGUUAUUUUUCG